RNAcentral lists this long non-coding RNA (537 nucleotides) under Mus musculus (house mouse). RNAcentral describes it as "RIKEN cDNA A230072C01 gene". Lineage: Eukaryota; Metazoa; Chordata; Mammalia; Rodentia; Muridae. The record is from RNAcentral.
CUCAAACGUCACGCCUCCCACGUUGUCACUCACUGCAAGUCUCGCUGCAGUACGUCACUGAUAAAGCCACUCAACGUUGGGGAUGACUUCUUUCGGCUCGAGCUACGGAGUUGCUUCUGCCCAACCCGAUUUUGGAACUCGUUCACUCACCGGUACAGGAGUACGGCGUUUACCGUAGGGCCACCGGCAAUAACUGCCAGAAGAAGUUGUGGGAUUCCCUGGAACUGGAGCAACCAACAGUUUGUGUGCACCAUGUGGGUAAUGGGAAUCGAACCUGGGUCCUCUAUAAGACUGGCCAGUGCUCUUAACUACUGAGGUGCAUUUCUUUCGGAAUUGAUUCACAUAACUAUUAUGCUAUACUGUUUGAAGUAUUUAUUAGAAAAACAUCAGAAAGAGGUGAGUAACCAUCUGUUGGGCUGUGGGAGAUUGCUCUCAAUUUUUCACUUUUCUCUGUAGCCAUACCUUUUGCCCUUAAUGUUUUGAUUUUGGGGUGAUUUGCUUUAUUAAUAGCAAAGUUAUUAAAAAAGGAGUAGAGGA